This 497-nucleotide ribosomal RNA is filed under the name uncultured bacterium. RNAcentral describes it as "partial 16S ribosomal RNA". It matches the Rfam family "Bacterial small subunit ribosomal RNA", at positions 28 to 507 of the family's 1533-position model. The record is from RNAcentral.
GAUGAACGCUGGCGGCGUGCCUAAUACAUGCAAGUCGAGCGAACAGAUGAGGAGCUUGCUCCCCUGACGUUAGCGCCGGACGGGUGAGUAACACGUGGAUAACCUCCCUAUAAGACUGGGAUUACUUCGGGAAACCGGAGCUAAUACCGGAUAAUAUAUUGAACCGCAUGGUUCAAUAGUGAAAGACGGGUUUGCUGGCACUUAUCGAUGGAUCCGCGCCGCCUGAGCUAGUUGGUAAGGUAACGGCUUACCAAGGCAACGAUGCUUAGCCGACAUCAGAGCGUGAACGGCCAGACUGGAAGUGAGACUCGGCCCACACUCUUGCGGGAGGCAGCAGUAGGGAAUCUUCCGCAAGGGGGGAGAGCCUGACAGAGCAACGCCGCGUGAGGGCUGAAGGUCUUCUGAUCGUAGAACUCUGUUAUUAGUGAAGAACAAAUGUGUAAGCAACGAUGCACGUCAUGACGGUACCUGAACAGGAAGCCACGGCUAACUACGUG